RNAcentral lists this ribosomal RNA (368 nucleotides) under uncultured organism. RNAcentral's name for it is "bacterial SSU rRNA". It matches the Rfam family "Bacterial small subunit ribosomal RNA", at positions 526 to 896 of the family's 1533-position model. The record is from RNAcentral.
CGGAGGGUGCAAGCGUUAUCCGGAUUCACUGGGUUUAAAGGGUGCGUAGGUGGGCAGGUAAGUCAGUGGUGAAAUCUCUGGGCUUAACCCGGAAACUGCCAUUGAUACUAUCUGUCUUGAAUACCCUGGAGGUGAGCGGAAUAUGUCAUGUAGCGGUGAAAUGCUUAGAUAUGACAUAGAACACCCAUUGCGAAGGCAGCUCACUACGGGAAUAUUGACACUGAGGCACGAAAGCGUGGGGAUCAAACAGGAUUAGAUACCCUGGUAGUCCACGCCCUAAACUAUGGAUACUCGACAUCAGCGAUAAACUGUUGGUGUCUGAGCGAAAGCAUUAAGUAUCCCACCUGGGAAGUACGAUCGCAAGAUUG